GGGUUGUGGAUAAGAGGGAAAAUUGCAUUUGGUGGCACUGAAGGUUUUUGGUUUAGAAAGAAAUAUUACAGGAAAUAAAACAUCCUGAUACAUCUGGUUAGUGAAUGCAUUCUUUCAUUUGCAGAUUCAAAUUCAAUCACUUACUCUUUCAUAAGAUUAAUCACCCCGGAGGAUGAAAAAUGAAUAAUGUAUGACUUUAUGACUUAGUGAGGCCAGAGACUGGUCUCGAAGCGAAAUGCGGAGUGUUUUUUUUUAAAUUUUUUCGGAAGCAUAGGAUGCUCGAUUGCGACUCGUAAGGUAAUUAAGUUCUUUGCACCUUCCUGUCUGGCAAUUAGGUGAGGAAGUGCAACUCGAGGCUAAUGCGCAUCAUCAGAUCCAAUAGGUGUUCUCUGCUGGGGGCUCCUUGUCGCAAUCCUCUACUGCUUCCUCAAUCAAGAGGUGCAAAAAGAGGUGCACAUGCAGUGGCUCAGGUGGCAGGAGAAGAACUGUGGUGUGGUGUCCCCCGCGGCAAAGGGCAGCAUGAUGGAGACAC
This is a long non-coding RNA of Syngnathus typhle (broad-nosed pipefish), 532 nucleotides long. RefSeq lists it as uncharacterized. The transcript has 3 exons. The record is from RefSeq and is a predicted model, not a curated record. NCBI's taxonomy places the organism in Eukaryota, Metazoa, Chordata, Actinopteri, Syngnathiformes, Syngnathidae.